UCCUUGGUGGUCCAGUGGUUAGGAUUUGGUGCUUUUAUUGCUGUGGUCCAGGUUCGGUCCCUGGUUGGGGAA
RNAcentral lists this transfer RNA (72 nucleotides) under Bos taurus (domestic cattle). It matches the Rfam family "tRNA". Rfam says of the family: Transfer RNA (tRNA) molecules are approximately 80 nucleotides in length. Their secondary structure includes four short double-helical elements and three loops (D, anti-codon, and T loops). RNAcentral also lists the same sequence under 5 other names. Lineage: Eukaryota; Metazoa; Chordata; Mammalia; Artiodactyla; Bovidae. The record is from Rfam by way of RNAcentral.